GCCGCGGUGCUGGAACUGGUAGACAGGGUGGACUCAAAAUCCACUGGAGCUAAAACUCCGUGAGAGUUCGAUUCUCUCCCGCGGCA
This 86-nucleotide transfer RNA is filed under the name Candidatus Bathyarchaeota archaeon. RNAcentral describes it as "tRNA-Leu". It matches the Rfam family "tRNA". From Rfam's summary of the family: Transfer RNA (tRNA) molecules are approximately 80 nucleotides in length. Their secondary structure includes four short double-helical elements and three loops (D, anti-codon, and T loops). Lineage: Archaea; Thermoproteati; Candidatus Bathyarchaeota. The record is from RNAcentral.